UUCGGAGACCUAGUAGAGUGGCGCACGGGUGAGUAACGCGUAAGUAAUCUACCCUUGCAUUUGGGAUAACUACGGGAAGCUGUAGCUAAUACCAAAUACGUUCUCCUAUUUACGAAUUGGAGAAGAAAGAUGGCCUCUUCAUGAAAGCUAUCGUGCAGGGAGGAGCUUGCGUACCAUUAGCUAGUUGGUAGGGUAAUGGCCUACCAAGGCAACGAUGGUUAGCGGGUCUGAGAGGAUGAUCCGCCACACUGGAACUGAAACACGGACCAGACUCC
Molecule: ribosomal RNA, 275 nt
Filed under: unidentified marine bacterioplankton
Lineage: Bacteria
Description: partial 16S ribosomal RNA
Rfam family: Bacterial small subunit ribosomal RNA
Source: RNAcentral